CAUGAGUAAAUCUGCGAGACAGUCUUUGCUGGGCUGAAGAUAUGCAUACGUGCAGCUUUGAUAGACUCUGUUAUAUUAUACUUCAAAGCAGUCUUGCCAAUACUCACCCAGCAUGCAUGGGAGCGUGUGUUCCCAAGUCACUUGCCAGUAGAGUCUGCAAUAAAUCAUUUGGGUCUUUGCCCAUCUGAGAGGAUCGCCUCACAUGAUCACUUCACUGAGUUAAAAGAUUUUUCUCAUCAUUCAUUGGAUGCCAAGAACUGUGAGGAGUCUGAGAUUUUAGCUCCCUUGCAAGCAAACGGGUUAGCCUGCCACCAAAUCAUGGAUGUUGGCAAAAGACGUGGCAUUCCUGGGCCAGUACUCACAGCACAGCAAGCAGCAUGAGCCUCGUGUUUGCAAGGAAACCACAAAUGUUGGAGAGGAUGCGGAGAAAAGGGAACCCU
Molecule: long non-coding RNA, 440 nt
Organism: Canis lupus familiaris (dog)
Lineage: Eukaryota; Metazoa; Chordata; Mammalia; Carnivora; Canidae
Exons: 3
Source: RefSeq, a predicted model, not a curated record